AUGUAUGGACGGGAUAAGUGCUGAAAGCAUCUAAGCAUGAAGCCCCCCUCAAGAUGAGAUUUCCCAACUUCGGUUAUAAGAUCCCUCAGAGAUGAUGAGGUUAAUAGGUUCGAGGUGGAAGCGUGGUGACACGUGGAGCUGACGAAUACUAAUCGAUCGAAGACUUAAUCAAUUU
This 175-nucleotide ribosomal RNA is filed under the name Staphylococcus hominis. RNAcentral's name for it is "partial 23S ribosomal RNA". It matches the Rfam family "Bacterial large subunit ribosomal RNA", at positions 2751 to 2925 of the family's 2925-position model. The record is from RNAcentral. Lineage: Bacteria; Bacillati; Bacillota; Bacilli; Caryophanales; Staphylococcaceae.